Molecule: long non-coding RNA, 335 nt
Filed under: Capsicum annuum
Lineage: Eukaryota; Viridiplantae; Streptophyta; Magnoliopsida; Solanales; Solanaceae
Description: long non-coding RNA (CANN_LNC019537)
Source: RNAcentral
UCCUUGGUUCUAAUCCUCCAAACCAUUACUAUCACCCCCUAUACUACAGAGUGCUCUACCACCCAAAGACAACCAAUGGUUACUUCUAACCCUGCGUAUGAUGAAUGGCGAUGCAUCGAUCUUCUUAUUUUUGUAUGGCUUCGUCAAAUAAUUUUUGAUCCUCUUCUUGCUCAGUUAACUCGAACUACCUCUUCCUAUGAUUCUUGGACUAAAAUCGAGCGUAUGUUUCAAUCACAGACACAUGCUUGAGUUAUGCAAUUAAAAUCUCAACUUCAAAGCCUUCCUAUAUGCAAUCUUUCCAUUACAAAGUACUUCGAGAAGAAACGUGCAAUCGC